GUGGGGAAUAUUGGACAAUGGGCGAAAGCCUGAUCCAGCCAUGCCGCGUGUGUGAAGAAGGUCUUCGGAUUGUAAAGCACUUUAAGUUGAGAGGAAGGGCAGUAAGUUAAUACCUUGCUGUUUUGACGUUACCAACAGAAUAAGCACCGGCUAACUUCGUGCCAGCAGCCGCGGUAAUACGAAGGGUGCAAGCGUUAAUCGGAAUUACUGGGCGUAAAGCGCGCGUAGGUGGUUCAGCAAGUUGAAGGUGAAAUCCCCGGGCUCAACCUGGGAACUGCCUCCAAAACUACUGAGCUAGAGUACGGUAGAGGGUAGUGGAAUUUCCUGUGUAGCGGUGAAAUGCGUAGAUAUAGGAAGGAACACCAGUGGCGAAGGCGACUACCUGGACUGAUACUGACACUGAGGUGCGAAAGCGUGGGGAGCAAACAGGAUUAGAUACCCUUGUAGUCC
RNAcentral lists this ribosomal RNA (450 nucleotides) under uncultured bacterium. RNAcentral's name for it is "partial 16S ribosomal RNA". It matches the Rfam family "Bacterial small subunit ribosomal RNA", at positions 354 to 796 of the family's 1533-position model. The record is from RNAcentral.